This 1477-nucleotide long non-coding RNA is filed under the name Betta splendens (Siamese fighting fish). RNAcentral's name for it is "lncRNA (ENSBSLG00000022378.1)". The record is from RNAcentral. Lineage: Eukaryota; Metazoa; Chordata; Actinopteri; Anabantiformes; Osphronemidae.
UGCUCUUAGUGUGCGACUAUUCAUAUGCAUAGUAGUUUAUCCAUUUAUUUAAAUCUGCUAUAAAGCUUAACGUACCAUCAUAUGCGCCACUUACAUUCGUUACAUAAUCGGUGGUGGCUGAGCUGUUAAUGGCCUGAAGAAGGUGUGUGUAUGUUUGUGUACCUUCUACACUGCAAACAUGAAAGAGUGCAGACAUUAUCUCCUCUGCCUUCUUCCUACGCGCACACACACACACUAUUUGUCUUUGUGUAUGCUAGACAGCAGAUGGGAGCCCAUUAUAGGGCUGACGGAGCAGUCAUCUGGCAGGCACCCUGCCCCUCCUCCCCCUCUCCCCCCAUUCAUUCCCCCAAAGACACCCCAGCGCAGCUCAGCAGGCACGGGACACUUUUAGGCGGGAGACUCCAUAGCGCUGUGUGUGUGUGUGUGUGUGUGUGUGUGUGUGUGUGUGUGUGUGUGUGUGUGUGUUAAAGUUGGACCCUGUUCUGCCUUAUAUAGGUCAGCCUGUGUCACUGCCUUGUGAGGUAAGUCAGACUCUCAUUUGACUGAGGCAACACCUUCUUCGAGCGUGUGACUUCAUUUCUAAUGGUUCACAUCACUAACUUACUAACAAAAGCAAAACGAGGGACGUAUGUCUUUAUUUGCCUUUCAUUCCCCUUGUGCACACAUUGGAUAUUCUCAAUGUCUCUUUUACCUUAUUAAUGUUCCUUAUUUGCAUCAUUUGCAGUCUUCCGCUGAGAUGUGCCUCCCAAACAGGGGCCCCAGUGUGACUGCCUCCUACAGCUUUUAUUACAAAGGAUUAUAUGACAGUGAAUAUCAAACAGUGGAGGAGGAGGAGGAGGAGGGUGCUUCAGCCGUGCAGGUCAAGGCCAAGGUUACAGGCAGGUUUGAUGGUGUCCUCUGCAAGGAGGUAAUCUACAGCCCGCCCUUCAGAGACAGUCCAAUGGGACGUGGGAGGGAGGCACCACAGAAGAAGACUCCAACGCGACUUGUGAGAGCUGCUUUGGCGUCGCUGGGGCAACCUACACAAUCCGUGUUGCAGCGACGAGCCUUUCAGCAGGCCUCAAUCACACUUCCCUUCCCUUGGGAGAGUUUUUUCUUUCCUGCAGCACAGUUAAAUAGGAGAGAGGCCCAGCGCGUUCAAAGGACAGACAACCGGAGCUGGAGUAUGAGCAGCUCCGUCGCUCGGCCGCCGGCCUUCCUGCAGCAGGCCCUCCACGGCGGCCGCAUCUGGGCCACCGCCACACGCAGAGGGAGACCCCUCAGUCGCUCUCAAAGGCCCCGUUGGUGGCGCCCUGGCGGUCGCUCUUUUUCCGGCACUUGGACAGAAUCCUGUGGAGCAGGCUGGGGGAUCUGUGCGUCGGAGCCUGGGAGGCCGCGGGCUGAGGCACCGGGGGCCUCCGCACCAGAAAGGGGCCCUCGCUCCCACCCCGGCCCCCUUCCGGCCCCGCGCCGCCACCCCCUCGGCUCCCCCUCCUGA